UACGUAGGUGGCAAGCGUUGUCCGGAUUUACUGGGCGUAAAGAGCGCGCAGGCGGUCGAUCAAGUCGCGUGUGAAAGCCCCCGGCUCAACUGGGGAGGGUCACGCGAUACUGAUCGACUCGAAGGCAGGAGAGGGUAGUGGAAUUCCCGGUGUAGUGGUGAAAUGCGUAGAUAUCUGGAGGAACACCGGUGGCGAAGGCGGCAUCCUGGACCAAUAUUGACGCUGAGGAGCGAAAGCCAGGGGAGCAAACGGG
This 253-nucleotide ribosomal RNA is filed under the name uncultured bacterium. RNAcentral's name for it is "partial 16S ribosomal RNA". It matches the Rfam family "Bacterial small subunit ribosomal RNA", at positions 524 to 776 of the family's 1533-position model. The record is from RNAcentral.